AUAGUGGCUUUGUUGGAGCUUUUCUUGUUAUUAUUAGAUGUAUAGGUACCAAUAGUGUCAAUGAAGUAUUAUCCACCUCUAGAACAAAGCUUCUUAUUUUUUAUUUAUUUUUGGUUAUCUUUUAUAUACAGCUCUAGAGUUGACAUUAUUAUAGUUCGAAGAAUCAUAAGACAUGGCAUUGCAAGGGUGAAAGGUGAUAAGACUAUGUUGUAGUAGUAAGAUUCUUUAAAUUCAAUUAUAAACUUGAUUUAUUUGCUUCUCUUA
Molecule: long non-coding RNA, 264 nt
Filed under: Physcomitrium patens
Lineage: Eukaryota; Viridiplantae; Streptophyta; Bryopsida; Funariales; Funariaceae
Description: long non-coding RNA (PPAT_LNC004942)
Source: RNAcentral